UUUCCGUAGGUGAACCUGCGGAAGGAUCAUUAAUGAGUUGUCAUGGGGUUCGAUGCUGGCAGCCAAUUUUUGGAUGCAUGUGCUUGCCCUAACAAUCAUCUUCCAAACACCUGUGCACAUUUUUGAGGGAGUCUUGAGUUGGUUGCCGCUCUUGGGUGAUUUUCUCACUUUCCCUUAAAUCAUUAUACGCUAUUAACAAUGUUGAACGUGCUCUGUGCCGCAAGGCUAUUAAUAUAAUACAACUUUUAACAACGGAUCUCUUGGCUCUC
RNAcentral lists this unclassified non-coding RNA (269 nucleotides) under plant metagenome. RNAcentral's name for it is "partial contains small subunit ribosomal RNA, internal transcribed spacer 1, and 5.8S ribosomal RNA". The record is from RNAcentral.